GGUAAAGGUGGGUAUCUCCCUA
RNAcentral lists this non-coding RNA (22 nucleotides) under Arabidopsis thaliana (thale cress). The record is from RNAcentral. Lineage: Eukaryota; Viridiplantae; Streptophyta; Magnoliopsida; Brassicales; Brassicaceae.